UCUCCGUAGGUGAACCUGCGGAGGGAUCAUUCAGAGUUCAUGCCCUACCGGGUAGAUCUCCCACCCUAUGUUAUUAUUACUUUGUUGCUUUGGCGGGCCGUUAGGCUCCGGCCCGACUACCGGCCCCGGCUGGUAAGCGCCCGCCAGAGGACCCAAAACCCUGAAUAUUAGUGUCGUCUGAGUACUAUAUAAUAGUUAAAACUUUCAACAACGGAUCUCUUGGUUCUG
Molecule: unclassified non-coding RNA, 228 nt
Filed under: plant metagenome
Description: partial contains small subunit ribosomal RNA, internal transcribed spacer 1, and 5.8S ribosomal RNA
Source: RNAcentral